GUUCCUUUGGGGACACUCGAUAAAAUUGGAACGAUACACAGAAGAUUAGUAUUGUGGCCCUUGCGUAAUGACACGUACAAAUUUCAAAUAAUUAAGUGAUUU
RNAcentral lists this small nuclear RNA (102 nucleotides) under Trifolium pratense (red clover). Lineage: Eukaryota; Viridiplantae; Streptophyta; Magnoliopsida; Fabales; Fabaceae. The record is from RNAcentral.